Molecule: long non-coding RNA, 526 nt
Organism: Penaeus monodon (black tiger shrimp)
Lineage: Eukaryota; Metazoa; Arthropoda; Malacostraca; Decapoda; Penaeidae
Exons: 3
Source: RefSeq, a predicted model, not a curated record
GUCGUGAUUUAUAAAUAAAUGCAAAAUUUCCUCAUAAAGAAGACUUAUUGUUAAAAGUUCUUUGGCUCAGGCCGGAAAAGACCACGUAUCACUGAAUACUAUAGGGGCAUUUCAAAAACACGUAAUCGUUUCAUCAGCAUUCACCAAAUACGACCUGCAUGAGAAAAGUGAAUUCUUCGCCCAAAAUCGGAAAAUCGUCUGCUUCCCGCUGUGGAAUCUGCUUUCAACCGAGAGCCAUAAUAAGAUUUUGACCAUGGAGUCGUUCUCGGAUCUUGUUUGUUAAGUGAGAAGGGAAACAACAAAAUUCUAAAAGGAAUCACAAAUCUCUAUGGAAUUAAUGUUAGGAGGGAGAGAGUGAAGUGAAAAACUGAUCUUAUGGACGCUGACCUCAAUGCUGAUCCAGCAGAAGACAGAGUCAGGCCAGUACAUGGAUCAUGAUAACCAAACAAAGAAAACAAGAGAAGAACUAGAAAGUGGUAAAAAAGAAAAUCUAAUUUCAAAACAACCAUAAAACAAAGAAGCUGGA